AAACUUAGGAUAAUCUAAANCCAAGGGCCUUCAAAGCCCUAAAUAAGGGC
This 50-nucleotide transfer RNA is filed under the name Anolis sagrei (brown anole). Its description in RNAcentral is "partial tRNA-Trp". Lineage: Eukaryota; Metazoa; Chordata; Lepidosauria; Squamata; Anolidae. The record is from RNAcentral.